UUCUUUUUAGUUUAAUCUAGAAUAUCUGUCUUCCAAACAGAAGGUCCUUUUAGGAAAAGAAA
This 62-nucleotide transfer RNA is filed under the name Planocera reticulata. Its description in RNAcentral is "tRNA-Gly". It matches the Rfam family "tRNA". From Rfam's summary of the family: Transfer RNA (tRNA) molecules are approximately 80 nucleotides in length. Their secondary structure includes four short double-helical elements and three loops (D, anti-codon, and T loops). Lineage: Eukaryota; Metazoa; Platyhelminthes; Polycladida; Planoceridae. The record is from RNAcentral.